GCCCUUCCUACGGGAGGCAGCAGUGAGGAAUAUUGGUCAAUGGCCGAGAGGCUGAACCAGCCAAGUAGCGUGGAGGAUGACUGCCCUACGGGUUGUAAACUCCUUUUAUAAGGGGGUAAAGGCAUCUACGUGUAGAUGUUUGCAAGUACCUUAUGAAUAAGCAUCGGCUAACUCCGUGCCAGCAGCCGCGGUAAUAAGGGCA
RNAcentral lists this ribosomal RNA (202 nucleotides) under uncultured bacterium. RNAcentral's name for it is "partial 16S ribosomal RNA". It matches the Rfam family "Bacterial small subunit ribosomal RNA", at positions 332 to 531 of the family's 1533-position model. The record is from RNAcentral.